GUAGAGCUGGUAGCUGGUCCACCCUGGACUGAGGGUGGCCCAGCCUAGGCCCCUGGGCAUUUCCAGGGCACACCUAGAGGGAGCAGCCAUAGCCCUGGCUACUCAGGAACAGAGAACACAGAGUGACGGGGGUGGGUGACAGAGAGGCCCAAAUUCCUGAAACACAGUCAGCUGAGCCCACCAUAGAUGGAUGUCCAGGAGCAUCCUCUUGUCUGCCCACUAGAAUCUUGUCACCCUUCUCCUCUCCCAAGCCAGUCCCGCCCUUUGCCCUGUCGUUAAGGAAAAGUGUCGUCCAAGGUCCCCUCCACAGCAGUGUCUGGCCCAUCGCCCCUGCACCAGCUCCCAACUCCUCCUUCUGCAGCUCUGGAUCUCUGGGAGCCCCGGUGCCCUCUCCAUGCCUGCGUCUCUCCAGGGCGGCUCCCGGCUCCAGCGGCCCUCUUGGGUGCUGCCCUUUAUCCAUCCUCCCAACAGACCAGGCGCCUCCCGCAGCGUGUCUGCCUCACCUCCCUCCUGCAUGUGCUCCUGGCGCUGGGGCUGGUACCUGGGACCCCUCUAAGUCCGUCCUUGUUGGGUGCCCAUGUUCACCAGCAUGGCAGGGUGGGAAGACAGAGGGUUUGGAGUUUGAAUCCAGCCCGUGGCUUCCUGAGGCAGUGACUCGCAGCCUCUGGCAGGUUGGGUGGGAGGGCUAUGUGGAUGUCACGUGUCAGGACGUGGUUGCUGCCCUCCUUCUGAUCUGAGCUGCUUUUUAUCUGUCUGUUUCUUGACAGUCCUCGCAGUCCUCCUCCCCUAGUUCAGGCCCUCAUCCUAUUGGUUGCAAGUGACAGAAAAUUCAAACUAGGUUAAGUGGGAAAAAAAAAAAGAGAAAGAAGAAAAAAGAAAGGGUGAGGGGCAUUUGUGGUUCACGGUUGGGAUGGAGACGAGCUUCCGUGCAGUUCAGACACCAGAAGCCGGUGCUGACCCCGCUGUUCACUCCUGGCACCCAGAUGUCCUGUGUUUCUCCUCGUGGUGGUGUGGGGCUGCAGCAGCUCUGCCCUUGCAGCCGUGUCUUCUCCAUCAGCCCUAGAAGAAGGCUCACCUUGGGAACACCUUAGUUCCCACCCAUCCCUGACCAGUCACUGAAGCCAGGAGAUGCAAUGCAGUGUUAGGGUUAGGCAAAGGAAGAGUGUGGAGGAAAGGUGGUCACCCUGCAGGAAAUCUGGGGUGCUGCUACCGUAGGAAUGGAGAGUGGCUGCUGGGUGACUGUCUUCCGAUAGUUCAUAAAAUGGUCUCUAGGCUCCCCCAGCUCCAUAGCGGGGGAGCACUGCCAGUUUUCUGGUGCAGGUUGUAUAUUAUCCACCUCAGUCCUCAGAAGUCUCAGGAGACCCCUGGGAUGGCAGAAUCCAGUCCAAACUCCCUUGCCAUGCCUUCUAGACACUAUUGUUCAGCUCAAAAAAAAAAAAAAUGUUUCAGGCCCUUUGCUUCUCUUCUGUCUCUUCUUUUUCCCCCUCCUUCAUUCACUCCUAUCCCUCUUCUUGUCCUCUAUAAAUCUACAGCACUCUCACACUCCAUUUCCUUGGAACAUACCCAAGAGAACUGAAAACAGGUGUUCACACAAAAACAUAUACAGAGGUGUCUGAUAUUCACAACAGCCAGCAAGUGGAAACAACCUCAGGGUCUGUCCAUGGAUGAAUGAAAGAGUGAAUGAAAUACAGUUUGGCCAACAGUAAAGUAUCAUACAGCCCUGAAAAAUGAAAAAAAGUACUAUCACAUGUUACUUCAAGAAUGGACCUUGAAAAUAUGCUAAAUGAAAGAAAUCAGAAAGGACCCUGUUUGAGUGAUUCCAUUUAGAUUAAAUGCCUGGAGUAGGUGAAUAGUUAAAGAAAGUAGAUUAGUAGUUGCCAGGGCCUGGGGCAAGGGGAGUGAGGAGUGACUGCUAUUGGGUAUGGGUUUCUUCUUGGAGUGAGAAAAACAUUCUUGAAGAAUGUAGUAGAGAUAUUUGCACAACAUUGUGGAUAAAGUGAAAAAUCAC
This 2008-nucleotide long non-coding RNA is filed under the name Marmota monax (woodchuck). The record is from RNAcentral. Lineage: Eukaryota; Metazoa; Chordata; Mammalia; Rodentia; Sciuridae.